Rosa chinensis is the source of this 310-nucleotide long non-coding RNA. RefSeq lists it as uncharacterized. The record is from RefSeq and is a predicted model, not a curated record. The transcript has 3 exons. Lineage: Eukaryota; Viridiplantae; Streptophyta; Magnoliopsida; Rosales; Rosaceae.
CCUGGUCACCGCCUGUGUUUUUGCUCGCUGUGAUUUUCUCUCCGUGCAGAUUGCUGGCGUUGCUCUCUCUCCUCGUCUACGCCUCGGUUUUGGUCACUGUGAUUUUCUCUCCGUGUAGAUUGCCGGCUUGCUCUCUCUCGGGAUCUGUUCCUGCUGCGGUUCCAGAUCCAGGCCACCUCACCGUCAAAUUCCAAGUUGGAAGAUAUGAAGAUGGAUGAGGCGUCUGAAGAGGUGGCAGUGGAAAUAGCUGCACAAGGGGUCCUUGGGAAGAGAGUUGAUGAGAUGGAGGCCAGUUUCAUGAUGGCAGAAG